CGGUCUUGUUCUACAAACGUCCCCCUAGGGGCUCGGUCUGUACAAAAAAAAACCUCGGUCCGAUAUUUCUCCGUACAGAUCGGAAGAGUUUGGCAAAUAAGAAGUUGAUCUAUUAGACUAGAUCUUGAGCAAUAUUGCAUGAUAUUUUACACCCCGAUUUAGUGACCACCCGGCUCCAAACUUGUAUAAGAAAAUGGUUGUAUUUAUACUUUGUUGUUAGUAGAGGCGCAAGCAUAGAUUAGAG
This is a non-coding RNA of Paramuricea clavata, 244 nucleotides long. The record is from the annotation of a GenBank genome assembly. Lineage: Eukaryota; Metazoa; Cnidaria; Anthozoa; Malacalcyonacea; Plexauridae.